Homo sapiens (human) is the source of this 1115-nucleotide long non-coding RNA. NCBI's taxonomy places the organism in Eukaryota, Metazoa, Chordata, Mammalia, Primates, Hominidae. The record is from Ensembl.
AAUACACGCUAAAGUCUGGAGGACAGAUACUUCCUUUUCCAGAUAAACUUACAGAUCCAGAUGAAGGUACCCCAAGCAGCUUGAGAUGUGAUGAUGGAGACCAGUUUGAGAAGACCCAUCAUCUCUGAUUUCCCUCUGAUUAUGAAGUAAUACAACAAAGCUACACCAGAGCCAUGGUACCAGCAUGAACAGCUUUCAUUCAUCUGACUUCACCAGAGCCAAUGGGAUCUCUGACUCUAGAAUCAUAGAUCCACCACCAGCUUGCUCCCUGCACCUGGAAAAGUGGCAGGCACUCAACAGCUUGUGAGAACAGCCAUUCAGGUGAACCCUGCAAGGCCACAGGGGUGGAGCUGCCCAAGGCCUUGGGAGUCCACCCCUUGCACCAGUGUGCUCUGGAUGUGACACACAGAGUCAAAGAAGAUUAUUUUGGAGCUCUAAGAUUUAUUUACUGCCCUGCUGGAUUUUAGACUUGUGUGGGACCCAUAACUCCUUUCUUUUGGCUGAUUCCUUCCUUCUGGAACAGGAGUGUUUACCCAAUGUCUGCACUCCCAUUGUAUCUUGGAAAUAAAUAACUUAUUUUGAUUUUACAGGCCUAUAGGUAGAAGGAGAUGAGUCUCAAAUGAGACUUUGGAGUUAGACCUGGGACUUUUGAUUUAAUGCUGGAAUAAGUUAAGACUUUGGGGGACUACUGAGAAAGCAUGAUUGUAUUUUGCAAUGUGAGAAGGACAUAAGAUUUGAAGGCAAGGGCGGGGAUAGAAUGUUAUAGUUGGGUAUUUGUCCUGCCAAAAUCUGAUGUUGAAAUGUAAUCCCCAAUGUGGAAGGUGAGUCCUGGUGGGAAGUAAUUGGGUCAUGGAUGCAGAUCCCUCAUGAAUGGCUUAGUGCUGUCCUCAUGAUAUCACAUGAGUUUUAUGAGAUCUGGUCAUUUAAAGAUGUGUGGCAUCUCCUCCCUCUGUUAUUUGCUCCUGCUUCCACCAUGUGAUGUGCUUAUUCACGCUUUGCCUUCCACCAUGAUAAAAACCUCUCUAAGCCUUCACCAGAAGCUGAGAAGAUGCCAGUACCAUGUUCCCUGUAAAGCCUACAGAACUGUAAGCCAAUUAAACCUCUCUUCUUUAUAA